RNAcentral lists this transfer RNA (83 nucleotides) under Actinomycetaceae bacterium. RNAcentral describes it as "tRNA-Leu". It matches the Rfam family "tRNA". From Rfam's summary of the family: Transfer RNA (tRNA) molecules are approximately 80 nucleotides in length. Their secondary structure includes four short double-helical elements and three loops (D, anti-codon, and T loops). Lineage: Bacteria; Bacillati; Actinomycetota; Actinomycetes; Actinomycetales; Actinomycetaceae. The record is from RNAcentral.
GCCCGAGUGGCGGAAUUGGUAGACGCGCCAGAUUUAGGUUCUGGUGUCUUAGCGACGUGGGGGUUCAAGUCCCUUCUCGGGCA